RNAcentral lists this ribosomal RNA (253 nucleotides) under uncultured bacterium. RNAcentral describes it as "partial 16S ribosomal RNA". It matches the Rfam family "Bacterial small subunit ribosomal RNA", at positions 524 to 776 of the family's 1533-position model. The record is from RNAcentral.
UACAGAGGUCUCAAGCGUUGUUCGGAUUCAUUGGGCGUAAAGGGUGCGUAGGCUGCGCGGUAAGUCAGGGGUGAAAUCCUGGAGCUCAACUCCAGAACUGCCCUUGAUACUGGCGGUCUCGAGUCCGGGAGAGGUGAGUGGAACUGCGAGUGUAGAGGUGAAAUUCGUAGAUAUUCGCAAGAACACCAGUGGCGAAGGCGGCUCACUGGCCCGAUACUGACGCUGAGGCACGAAAGCGUGGGGAGCAAACAGG